This 513-nucleotide ribosomal RNA is filed under the name uncultured Pseudomonadales bacterium. RNAcentral describes it as "bacterial SSU rRNA". It matches the Rfam family "Bacterial small subunit ribosomal RNA", at positions 84 to 618 of the family's 1533-position model. Lineage: Bacteria; Pseudomonadati; Pseudomonadota; Gammaproteobacteria; Pseudomonadales. The record is from RNAcentral.
UCAGGCGUCGAGCGGCGGACGGGUGAGUAAUACUUAGGAAUCUACCUAGUAGUGGGGGAUAGCACGGGGAAACUCGUAUUAAUACCGCAUACGACCUACGGGAGAAAGGGGGCAGUUUACUGCUCUCGCUAUUAGAUGAGCCUAAGUCGGAUUAGCUAGAUGGUGGGGUAAAGGCCUACCAUGGCGACGAUCUGUAGCUGGUCUGAGAGGAUGAUCAGCCACACCGGGACUGAGACACGGCCCGGACUCCUACGGGAGGCAGCAGUGGGGAAUAUUGGACAAUGGGGGCAACCCUGAUGGAGCAUCGCCGCGUGAAGGAUGAAGGCCUUAGGGUCGUAAACUUCUUUUAUUGGUGAAGAAUAUGACGGUAACCAAUGAAUAAGGGUCGGCUAACUACGUGCCAGCAGCCGCGGUCAUACGUAGGACCCAAGCGUUAUCCGGAGUGACUGGGCGUAAAGAGUUGCGUAGGCGGCUUAAUAAGUGGAUAGUGAAACCUGGUGGCUCAACCAUACA